AGAGUUUGAUCCUGGCUCAGGACGAACGCUGGCGGCGUGCUUAACACAUGCAAGUCGAACGGAGGUAUUUAUUUCGGUAGAUAUCUUAGUGGCGAACGGGUGAGNNNNNNNNNNNNNNNNNNNNNNNNNNNNNNNNNNNNNNNNNNNNNNNNNNNNAUACCGCAUAAGACCACAUUGUCACAUGACAGAGGGGUCAAAGGAGCAAUCCGCUUUGGGAGGGGCUCGCGUCCCAUUAGGUAGUUGGUGAGGUAACGGCCCACCAAGCCUGCGAUGGGUAGCCGAGCUGAGAGGCUGAACGGCCACACUGGAACUGAGACACGGUCCAGACUCCUACGGGAGGCAGCAGUGGGGAAUAUUGGGCAAUGGGCGCAAGCCUGACCCAGCAACGCCGCGUGAGGGAAGAAGGUUUUCGGAUUGUAAACCUCUGUCCUUGGGGACGAAAAAAAUGACGGUACCCAAGGAGGAAGCCCCGGCUAACUACGUGCCAGCAGCCGCGGUAAUACGUAGGGGGCGAGCGUUGUCCGGAAUUACUGGGCGUAAAGGGCGCGUAGGCGGUCUUUUAAGUUAGAUGUGAAAUUCCCGGGCUCAACUUGGGGGGUGCAUCUAAUACUGGGAGGCUAGAGUGCAGGAGGGGCAACUGGAAUUCCUGGUGUAACGGUGAAAUGUGUAGAUAUCAGGAGGAACACCCGUGGCGAAGGCGGGUUGCUGGACCAAAACUGACGCUGAGACGCGAAAGCGUGGGUAGCAAACAGGAUUAGAUACCCUGGUAGUCCACGCUGUAAACGAUGAGUGCUAGGUGUAGGGGGUAUCGACUCCCUCUGUGCCGCAGCUAACGCAAUAAGCACUCCGCCUGGGGAGUACGGUCGCAAGAUUGAAACUCAAAGGAAUUGACGGGGGCCCGCACAAGCAGCGGAGCAUGUGGUUUAAUUCGAAGCAACGCGAAGAACCUUACCAAGGCUUGACAUCCACUUAAACGCAUGGAAACAUGCGGUCUCUUCGGAGGAAGUGAGACAGGUGGUGCAUGGUUGUCGUCAGCUCGUGUCGUGAGAUGUUGGGUUAAGUCCCGCAACGAGCGCAACCCCUACAGCUAGUUGCCAGCACGUAAUGGUGGGAACUCUAGCAGAACUGCCGUUGACAAAACGGAGGAAGGUGGGGAUGACGUCAAAUCAUCAUGCCCCUUAUGUCUUGGGCUACACACGUACUACAAUGGCCUGAACAGAGGGAAGCGAAACUGCGAAGUUAAGCGAACCCCUUAAAACAGGUCCCAGUUCGGAUUGUAGGCUGCAACUCGCCUACAUGAAGUUGGAAUCGCUAGUAAUCGCAGGUCAGCAUACUGCGGUGAAUACGUUCCCGGGCCUUGUACACACCGCCCGUCC
This 1376-nucleotide ribosomal RNA is filed under the name uncultured bacterium. Its description in RNAcentral is "partial 16S ribosomal RNA". It matches the Rfam family "Bacterial small subunit ribosomal RNA". The record is from RNAcentral.